AUUGAACGCUGGCGGCAGGCUUAACACAUGCAAGUCGAGCGGAAACGAUGGUAGCUUGCUACCAGGCGUCGAGCGGCGGACGGGUGAGUAAUACUUAGGAAUCUACCUAGUAGUGGGGGAUAGCACGGGGAAACUCGUAUUAAUACCGCAUACGACCUACGGGAGAAAGGGGGCAGUUUACUGCUCUCGCUAUUAGAUGAGCCUAAGUCGGAUUAGCUAGAUGGUGGGGUAAAGGCCUACCAUGGCGACGAUCUGUAGCUGGUCUGAGAGGAUGAUCAGCCACACCGGGACUGAGACACGGCCCGGACUCCUACGGGAGGCAGCAGUGGGGAAUAUUGGACAAUGGGGGAAACCCUGAUCCAGCCAUGCCGCGUGUGUGAAGAAGGCCUUUUGGUUGUAAAGCACUUUAAGCAGUGAAGAAGACUCUUCGGUUAAUACCCGGAGACGAUGACAUUAGCUGCAAAAUAAGCACCGGCUAACUCUGUGCCAGCAGCCGCGGUAAUACAGAGGGUGCAAGCGUUAAUCGGAAUUACUGGGCGUAAAGCGAGCGUAGGUGGCUUGAUAAGUCAGAUGUGAAAUCCCCGGGCUUAACCUGGGAACUGCAUCUGAAACUGUUAGGCUAGAGUAGGUGAGAGGGAAGUAGAAUUUCAGGUGUAGCGGUGAAAUGCGUAGAGAUCUGAAGGAAUACCGAUGGCGAAGGCAGCUUCCUGGCAUCAUACUGACACUGAGGCUCGAAAGCGUGGGUAGCAAACAGG
This 755-nucleotide ribosomal RNA is filed under the name uncultured bacterium. RNAcentral describes it as "bacterial SSU rRNA". It matches the Rfam family "Bacterial small subunit ribosomal RNA", at positions 28 to 776 of the family's 1533-position model. The record is from RNAcentral.